AGACGGGACCCCGCACAAGCGGUGGAUCAUGUUGUUUAAUUCGAUGAUACGCGAAGAACCUUACCAGGUCUUGACAUCCCGAUGCUAUUUCUAGAGAUAGAAAGUUACUUCGGUACAUCGGUGACAGGUGGUGCAUGGUUGUCGUCAGCUCGUGUCGUGAGAUGUUGGGUUAAGUCCCGCAACGAGCGCAACCCCUAUUGUUAGUUGCCAUCAUUCAGUUGGGCACUCUAGCGAGACUGCCGGUAAUAAACCGGAGGAAGGUGGGGAUGACGUCAAAUCAUCAUGCCCCUUAUGACCUGGGCUACACACGUGCUACAAUGGUUGGUACAACGAGUUGCGAGUCGGUGACGGCGAGCUAAUCUCUUAAAGCCAAUCUCAGUUCGGAUUGUAGGCUGCAACUCGCCUACAUGAAGUCGGAAUCGCUAGUAAUCGCGGAUCAGCACGCCGCGGUGAAUACGUUCCCGGGUCUU
Molecule: ribosomal RNA, 470 nt
Filed under: uncultured Streptococcus sp.
Lineage: Bacteria; Bacillati; Bacillota; Bacilli; Lactobacillales; Streptococcaceae
Description: bacterial SSU rRNA
Rfam family: Bacterial small subunit ribosomal RNA
Source: RNAcentral